RNAcentral lists this ribosomal RNA (465 nucleotides) under Vreelandella stevensii. RNAcentral's name for it is "partial 16S ribosomal RNA". It matches the Rfam family "Bacterial small subunit ribosomal RNA", at positions 338 to 795 of the family's 1533-position model. The record is from RNAcentral. Lineage: Bacteria; Pseudomonadati; Pseudomonadota; Gammaproteobacteria; Oceanospirillales; Halomonadaceae.
CCUACGGGUGGCAGCAGUGGGGAAUAUUGGACAAUGGGCGAAAGCCUGAUCCAGCCAUGCCGCGUGUGUGAAGAAGGCCUUCGGGUUGUAAAGCACUUUCAGUGGGGAAGAAAGCCUUGGGGCUAAUACCCUCGAGGAAGGACAUUACCCACAGAAGAAGCACCGGCUAACUCCGUGCCAGCAGCCGCGGUAAUACGGAGGGUGCGAGCGUUAAUCGGAAUUACUGGGCGUAAAGCGCGCGUAGGCGGUCUGAUAAGCCGGUUGUGAAAGCCCCGGGCUCAACCUGGGAACGGCAUCCGGAACUGUCAGGCUAGAGUGCAGGAGAGGAAGGUAGAAUUCCCGGUGUAGCGGUGAAAUGCGUAGAGAUCGGGAGGAAUACCAGUGGCGAAGGCGGCCUUCUGGACUGACACUGACGCUGAGGUGCGAAAGCGUGGGUAGCAAACAGGAUUAGAUACCCCAGUAGUC